GAUGAACGCUGGCGGCGUGCUUAACACAUGCAAGUCGAACGAUGAAGCUGGAGCUUGCUCCGGUGGAUUAGUGGCGAACGGGUGAGUAACACGUGAGCAAUCUGCCCUUGACUCUGGGAUAACUGCGGGAAACUGUAGCUAAUACCGGAUACUUUCACUGGAAGGCAUCUUCUGGUGACGAAAGAAUUUCGGUCAAGGAUGAGCUCGCGGCCUAUCAGCUUGUUGGUGGGGUAACGGCUCACCAAGGCGACGACGGGUAGCCGGCCUGAGAGGGGGACCGGACCCACUGGGGGUGCGACACGGCCGAGACUGCUACGGGAGACAGCAGUGGGGAAUAUUGCACAAAGGGCGCAAGCCUGAUGCAGCAACGCCGCGUGAGGGAUGAAGGCCUUCGGUUUGUAAACCUCUUUUAGCAGGGAACAAGCGAAAGUGACGGUACCUGCAGAAAAAGGACCGGCUAACUACGUGCCAGCCGCCGCAGUAA
Molecule: ribosomal RNA, 484 nt
Filed under: uncultured bacterium
Lineage: Bacteria
Description: partial 16S ribosomal RNA
Rfam family: Bacterial small subunit ribosomal RNA
Source: RNAcentral